This 142-nucleotide small RNA is filed under the name Olea europaea subsp. europaea. Lineage: Eukaryota; Viridiplantae; Streptophyta; Magnoliopsida; Lamiales; Oleaceae. The record is from RNAcentral.
UAAUGUUAUCUUUUGCAACAUUUAUUUAGUGUUGCGAAACUUUUUAUAUUUGCAAUGUUUAUCAAACGUUGUGAAAACCCUUUUCGCAACAUUUUUUAAACGUUGCGAAAGGUUCAACUUUUCGCAGCAUUUAAAAAACAUU